UUUUCUAGUUUUCUUGGCUCCCUCCCCUGUAAUAAAAGAUAGAUUAAAAAGAGAAAAACAGGCAGAAGUUUAAUAACAUGCAUGCCUCCUGUAUACAUGGGAGAGCCCCAGGAAAACUGAGUAACUUCCCCAAUGCUCCAAGCCACCAAUUUAAAUAGCAUCUCCAGCUGAAGACAAAGGAAAGAUGUGGAGGGAUGCAGGGAGGUGGUGGUGGGGGGCAGCCAGUGAUGGAAGAAAGACACAGUAAAGGAGGGUAAGGUGUUAUGCAGAUUCAAGUCCUUGCCUUCCCACUGAUAAAAGUUUCUAGAGAUUUAGUCAUCCUCCUCUUCUUGGUACAAAGAGGAGACCCCCUUACAAAUAGAGAUUUCCCUUAUAAAUGUAAGUUUUCCUCACAAACAGGCAACUUCUAUUGUGUCUGUAGCCUUUCAAAAAUAAUCAGCCUAAAAUAAUCAAUAUGCCAGAGAUAUAUUUUAGGGAAGUUUGUUUUUCUUCCUUUCAAAGGUUUGUACAUUUCUGCAGACAUGAAUCUUUUAAGUUUGAGAAAAGCCUUAUAUACUACUUACAAACUAUACACUUACACUAAUAUUUAUAAAAGUAUACAUACAAAUGGGGUACCUGGGUGGCUCAGUCGGUUGAGCGACCGACUUCGGCUCAUGUCAUGAUCUCACGGUUUGUGAGUUUGAGCCCCGUGUUGGGCUCUGUGCUGACAGCUCAGAGCCUGGAGCCUGCUUUGGAUUCUGUGUUUCCCUCUCUCUCUGCCCCUCCCCUGCUCAUGCUCUGUGUCUCUCUGUCUCAAAAAUAAAUCAAAACAUUAAAAAAUUUAAAAAAAGUAUACACACAAACACAUAUAUACGUAUAUAUAAUAUAUACACUUUUAUUAGUGUGUGUAAUAUUGUGACUUAUAAGAUAUAUAUUUGGACAUUCAGAUGACCAAAAUAAGCCAAAAGACCAAGAGCAAUGGGAACAUCUUUUGACACAGUAUUUGGUCUCUUGUCCUCAGUUCCAGAAAUUUCUCCAGAAUCAUAAAGGUGAAUGGGUGUCUUGUUAUUUAUAACAAGCUCCUCUCCUCCACAACUGGGUUUAUGUUAAUGAGGUGAGUUCUGGAAAGCACCUAAAGAUGGGGGCUGGUUACCAAGGGAACCAACCAUGAAUGGAGGGUUGGGAAUUUCAAUUCUACUCCUUGAUCUCCAAGGAGGGGAGAGGGACUGCAAGUUUAGUUGAUCACCAAAGGCCAAUUAUUUAAUCAAUCAUGCCCAUUUAAUGAAGCCUCCAAGAAUGCGGUUUGGAGAGAUCCUGGCUUGGUGAGCACAUGAAGGUGCUGGAAGAGAGGUGCACCCGAAGAGGGCAUGAAAGCUCCCAUGUCCUCCAUCUGGCUGUCACUGAGUUGUAUCUUUUUAUAGUGAACUGGUAAUUUAGUAAGUAAAAUAUUUCUCUGAGUUCCAUGAGCCACUCUAGCAAAUUAAUGAAACCAGAGGAGGGGACCAUGGGAACCUCUAAUUUUAUAGCUAGUUUUACAGCUGAACUUACAACUGGCAUCUGAAUCGGGUUGGGAGGGCAGUUUUGUAGGUCUGAGACCUUAACCUGUGGGAUUGGAUGCUAUCUUGGGGUAGAUAGUGUCAGAAUUGAGUUAAAUUGUAGGACAUCCAGCUGGUGUCACGAAGAAUUAUCGGUGUGGAGGACCCCCCUCCCUACAUUAGAAAUUGGUGAUCAGACACCUUUUAAUAAGUAUACAGUAUAAGUAUAUAUAUGUAUACCAUAAACAUAUUUGCAUAUCAUUAUAUGUAAUAUAUAAUACUAUAAUAUAUACUCAUAUAUAUGAACAUAUAAUGUACCAUAUAUAAUGCAUACUCAUGUAUAUUAUAUUCAUACAUAUCUAUGUAUUUACACUAUACAUGAUACUACUUACGGCAUAAUUAAAUGAAAGGAUUUUGAAUCAAUUAACCAAUCUUUAGUCUCAAACUUUAUAUAACAAGGUCUUCUCAUAGCAACUUCAUUAAAACCAUUUUCCUCCAUAGAUCUUGAAGACCUAACCCAAAGCACUUCCAAAAUUUAAUUAUAUCCAAUUAUUAUUGGAUAUAUCCAGUAAUAUCACUUCUCCUCUCCCUUUAUAGUAUUUGCCCUUCAGAGACUUUGGAAAAUGUCACAAGAGGAUCUUCCCUAUUCCAUUUCCUGCCUUUCGUUUCAUUGAUUCUCUCUUCUAAAGUCAGAUAAGUACACAAUGAUAUCAGAAGGAUGCAGUUUUUUCAGCUUUUACAGCGAAAAUAAUGGUAUUUUCUAGCAGAUGCUCAAAUACUGCUCAUGGAUUGUUUGCAAGUUUCAUAGACAUAUAAUUUCAAGCUGAAAGAAAAGAGCUCCCAUGCUGAACACUGACAAGAGGCUUCUGUAACCUACUGGAUGGUGACAGCCUGGAGUCCUGAUGUUGUCUUGUGCCAGAGGACAAUGGCAUAAGCUAUGGAUCCUAACCACUGGUCUGGAAAACAAAACCUACCUUAUGAAGAACCCGGCUAAGCAGAUCUCGGGGUUUCUCCACCUGCCAACAUGAAGUGUGUCCUGAGUUCCUGAGGUUGGCGGGUCUUUGGCUGCCCUGCCACCAAUGUGUACAGGUGCACCAUGUGAACUACACUGCAGGGAAGCCUCACUCUGUGUCUGGGCUCCAAGCAUCUCUCCGGAACAUUCUACGCCAGGAAAUGAAACAGGGAGAGCCAGCAUGAGCGCUAAUACCUUCUGACAUAGGUGAGGAGUCAUUUGUUCUUCUAAACUCUGUUUAGCAUCCUUUCCCAAGAGGCUUCCUUGACUUCUUGAUUGCAGAAUAAGUAAAGACUCAACCUUAUUUAAACCCCUGCGCCUCACUGGCUCACAGUUCAAGCUUGGUUGUUUGGGAUGCUUUCCAAGACAGCUGUCCACAGAGGAAAGCUUUGGCACCAUGGAUCACUUCUAACAAUAAGUCUUGACCUUUCAGGUAAAUGGGACACCUUUCCCUUUACCCUGUUGACAAAUUUCCUGUGUAUAUAGUUUGGUUGUGUCUUUCUUUUCUUCUCUUUUCUUCUUACCCCUACUUUGUGAGAGCUGCUACCAAGGUCUUCCUGCCCCACGCUAGCCUUGUUCUGAGGUCAACUAGACCCUGUGGGUGGAGAUGCCUCCCCCAGCCAGCAGCAACGUGGACCUGUGAAGUCCCUGGACCCCAGAGAAGACGCUUUAUCAACCCUCUCUGCCCCUUUGCAGGAUAAGUGACCCCUGAUUUCGUGUGGGCACGUGUUCUGAUUAAAUCACGUCUUCCUGGGUCUUGAGCCUAACUUGCACUUGGAUUGCUGGGCAGGAAUUUGGUCACUCACUGUGCUUUACCUUUAGAUCUUGUGACACCUCAUCUCUGGAGGGCUGGCUUUUCACUGCUGCCGGAUCACGUGUCCCCCUUUUAUUUAAGAGCUGAUUGGUUUUAACUAGAAAAGGCUUAAAAGCACUGCUGAGUCUCUGGCACCUAAAAGACGCAUGGUAUUGUUCCGGAAGUGCUUGUUACUGACCAGGUUGAUUGUGGCCUCCCUUCCCUUGCACGUGGCUCGGCCUGUUCAGCACUCCAGGCUCUGGUUUUUACUAAUCUCUGCCCAACACCCCUCAUACCGGUGUUUCUUCUCUUCUCCAUUUCCUGGCCUGUCUUACUUUUCUGACUCUGGCUUCAGUGGCUGCAAUCUACUGCCACCGUCUUCUGGGUGCUCACAACCGAAUUAGAUUUUGUUGACGUUAAUUAGUUAAUUUGAUGUAAACCAGAGGGCUCAGCCAGAAUCCAGCUGGAUGUUCAGUCUUGCUGUUGGGGACCCAACCUUCCCUUUUGGGAUUAAAAUACCUAUGGGAGGCAGACAUUUUUCACUCUCAGGUGAAAAGAGAAGCGAAGUCUGCCUACUUUAAAUAAUUAUAAUAUAAAAUGGUAUAAUUUCAGGAGUGUUACGAUCUUAUUAAUAAGUGUUUAAUAUUCUCUUAUAAUUCACAUUCUCUGUAGAUGAACAUUGGUUGAAUUGGUGACUUUAAACAGAGGCAAAGAAAAUAGAACAGUUAUAAGUCUAAACAUCCAAAAUGGGCAAAACAAUGAAGAAAAUUCUAAAUUGGUUAAUGUAUUUUUUUGUUAUAAUUCCUAAAAUACCUAAUGCCUCAUUUCUAUUAAAGAAGAUUUUAAUAUGAACAUUAAGCUUCAUUAUACAUUUCUAAAUAAUAAUCUACUUCUACCGGUUUUUAAAUUUAAGUCCUGGAAUUAAAUCUUAGAAUCCUUAAAAGUAUAAUUUUUGCUAAGUAAGAUUUAUAGACUUAGAAAUUGCAUUAGAGUUUUGAAGGUGUAAAUGGUGAAAAAUGGAUUACAAUGGCAUAAAUGAAACAUUCCUCAGGAUCUAUGAUUUGUUGAAGAGAUGUUCUUAUAACUAGAUGGGGCCACAGUUUCCUGUAUCUGUAGGGGUUUGGUAAGGACAUAAAUUGGAACCUAAAUUCUUGGCCAUCAACAUUCCCUAUCGGGCCACAGGGCCCAGUGAGGACAGCCACAGACUACCAAAUGCAUAAUGUGCCUAAGAGCAUGCAAAUUAAAUUAAUUUAAAAACAACCACCUGAGGUUCUGGCUAAACAAACACGUACGAAAAACAGAGAAAGACCAACAGGUCACCAGUCUGCAAAAACUUGGCAAAAAUUGCGAUAAUGUGAUUAUAUUUUUGAAUCCACAAAUAGCAUACAUUUAGAAUGUGAAUAUAUAAGACAAACUUUGUCUACAUAAGUACUUCAAAUACUGAAGUUGACAUGAUCAAAUGAUCAUUGCAUAUCAUUUUUCCCUUAAUAAAGAGCAAAGAGUAGAGACCUGGUCAUGUGCAGGAUCAUGAAACUCAGUUUAUUUUAAGUUUUUAUUAUUAUUUCUUUUAGAGAGAGAGAAUGUGAAUGGGGGAAAGGGGCAGAGGGACAGAGAGAGAGAACUUCAAGCAGUCUCCACACUCAGCGUGGAGACUGACGUGGGGCUCAAUCCUACCACCCUGGGAUCAUGGCCUGAGCCAAAAUCAAGAGUCGGGCGCUCAACCGACUGAGCCACCCAAGCACCCCAAAACUCAGUUUAAUUGUUCAGGCUGUGUCAGAUGCCCAGUUCCUGGAGCUAGGCUCAGUACAGGCAUCCUCAGUUUGUGCACAGGUCCUGGCACACAGAGCUUGGUAAGGGGCAUCCUCACUCUGUGUGCCUCCCACUGCAUCAAGGGGGUGUGUAUAUUCUUAGGGACAGACACAUUCUGAUCUCUCCUGUGCCCCUUUCUCCCUGCCCUCCCUAAAGAGUAGGGUUCUGGGGAAAGAGCUUAACUCUGAUUUUAUGCACAUUAGCAUAUUACCAAUAUUUGUAGGAAUGGUGAGGAUGUUUUACCUUUACUUGUGCAGCAAACAAAAAUAAUCACGUUAGGGGCACCUGGGUGGCUUAGUCAGUUGAGUGUCUGACUUCAGCUCAGGUCAUGAUCUCGUGGUUCAUGAGUUCGAGCCCCACGUCAGGCUCUGUGCUGGCAGCUCAGAGCCUGGAGACUGCUUGGGAUUCUGCGUCCCCCUCUCUCUCUGCCCCUCCCCAGCUCACACUCUGUCUCUCUCAAGAAUACAUAAACAUUAAAAAAAUUGAAAAAAUAGUCAUGUUACUUCUGCACAGCUGAAGAGUAGCUUGAAAAUGUAUGUGCACGUGUGUGUGUGUGUGUGUGUGUGUGUGUAGAGAAAGAGAGGGGGAGAGGUUGAUUUGAACUUACUGUUAAUAUUUGCCUAGGAUACAAAAAAAAAUUCCAGAAAAACUUUAGUGGGAAGCAAUAAUGGUGUAAAAAAGUAUUACAAAACAGUGUGUAAAUAAAUAAUUUGCUAUUAACACCAGGUUUUGUAUAAUCAGAAUUUUCUCCAGCAUCUCUCAAAGCAUAAUAGCUCUUUAAGUAUUGGGUGAAUAAUUGAUUAUGAAUACACCUUGGAAUGUUACAAAGUAAACAAGCAUCUAUUUAUUGCCUCCAUUUUCUAGAAUUAGUUACAAGGAAAGUUGGCUAAACAGCGGAGCAAAGUUCAAGUUGUUAAAGGGUAAUAUGGAAUAAAUAUGUGGGUUUCAGGACUAUCUCCUACAGGCAGACGGGAGAGAGAGAGGGAUUAGAAGCAUGUGUUGGUGCGAACAGUUUCAAAAUUCACAGCGGAGUCUGUGCUGCUUUGUGGAGAGAGGACAUGGAUGAGGGAGUAUCUCUCUGGGACCUUUGUGGGGCAGGGACCCCUCCCAUCCUACAAUUGCCAUCUGUGGGAACAGACCACCCUGCUGCAGGGCCCAGGUCCCAGCUGCUCACUAAGUGUAGUUCUGUCUGUUUCCAGGUCUUCUGUCCGUGGUGAGGUCCCAGGGAAAAACUGAUAGUAAAGUCAUUUCAUGUAUAUCUAAACUCCAGAGCCAGACUUCCUGGAUGCAAAUCUGAGCCCAAGUGGGUGCUUCUGAGUAGUAGGCUGGCCUCUCCAAGGUUCUGUUUCCUAGUCUGCAAAAGGGGAAAAAUAAGAAGUUGGUUUUUCUGAGGAUUCACUGUCACUUGCGAAAGAUUUACCCAUCUUACUGCACUCUGGGCAUGUGUACUGUCUUGUCUUCAUCUACUGGAAGGGCCGCCGAUUAGCAGACAGCAGGCACGCCCCCAGAAAGAGAUGAAAACAACUAUAUGCUCACAAAACAAGCAAGGCACGGUCAUAUAUCUUCCAAUGCUUUGGCCAGUUCAAGGACUGAACUACCUUAUGUUUAUGGCUCUAAUAAUGUGUUUAUCUAACCUACUAUCCACAAAUCCUGCUGGUUUGGGAUAGCACGGGUCUGGCUGGAUAGAUGUCAGUGAGCAGCUCUCACGUCCUCUGGAGCGUGUCUGGGGUUCCUUUCCCUCUCUGCUAUCGCCAUUGAAUUUUUCCUGCACAUCUAAUUUCUUCUUGGAAGCAAAGGCAAUGCCAGGGGACAAGGCUCUGAGCUGUUUUGCCUUUCCUGUGGAAAUGACGGGGUGACCUUUAACACGCUACAAAGGUAACCUCAGUGGGAAGGUUGUGCUGCGCUUGCUUAACGGUGCUGAGUGAGAGGGUUGUGCUGCGCUUGCUUAACGGUGCUCAGUGGGAGGGUUGUGCUGCGCUUGCUUAACGGUGCUCAGGAGAACAUGCGGUGAUGUGAGCCACCUGGCUCCACUCCACGAAGGCAAGAUUGGCUUCAGAAUGUCAUCCCUUCAGUGACCUAAAAGGAGAGCUUCACUAAAAUGGCAAACCAUAGCUGUGGUCAUAAUAGGGGAAGGGUGUUCGGACCUGGUGGUUGAAACCAAGGGUAAGAAGCUCCUGGAUCUGGUAGCAUUUCCUGAAGGAAAAAUGAAGGCUCUUCCUUUUACCUGAAUAGUGUGUGGGGGAAGGAGAAAUGUUUGGCAGGUGUUCACGAUGGGGUGCAUUUUCCUUGUUGAAUGAGGGGAUUCAGCUCUUGCAUCAUUAGCAUUUCAGGUAGAGAUAUAGAAGAGGCGAUUGGCAAAGUGCUCAUUUCAUCUUUUCUACAUCGUCUAGAAUCCGAGACCUUGAGGCAAUUUACUUGAAGUGAAUUCCCAAAAUCUUAGGUCUGCCUUUGUAGCCGGCAAGUCCCCACUGCUGUCAGGGAGGUGAAGAUACUCCUUCCUAACGCCUUCCUCCUUCUUCACCACCACCCCUCCAUUUCAUUAAUCAGGGAAUACAGAAGGUAGUCUAGUUCUAUAAUGAGUUGAACUUUAUUGGAAGGCAUAUGUAUAACUUGGGAAAUUAGUAUUUUAGAUGGGCCGACCAUUUUUGAGUCCAGGAAGGAGGUACAUAGAAUUGGCAGCUGAGAGUGUCAAUUGAAAAUGUGUCUAGGACAAAUGUAGGUGAAAUUAGUUUAUUGCUAACUCAGUAACUGUGUCGAGAAGAUGGGGCCAGGUAAGGUUUAAGAAAGCCCACCAAUAUCACAGCAGCUAGGAAGGUUAGUCCUAUUGACCAAGUCCAGUGGAUAUAUGAGAACUUUAUGUAUCUGCCUGAAUGAGAUCUCCUAUUUUGACCAUUUUUGUGACUGUGGUAUAAAUGCAUGUUUAUAGAAUGUUUAAUUGAUAUAAAAUUAUAGAUUGUAAUAUUGGCAUGGACUUAUCAAUGUUCUAGACUAUUAUAGGUAGGUGCUUAUCAAAAGUAUUUAACCAAAAGGUCUGGUUAUAAAAUGGUCCUGGUAAAUCAUGCUAUAGAAACUGAGAACCCGGUAAGAAAGUAAGGGAAAAAAAGGAAUGUUAAUGGUAAUACUGACCUUGAGAUAACAGAAUUUCCAGAAUUUUCUAUCAGAGUUGGGCUUUAUCUGAGUUCAGUCAGUUUAGCCAAGUAUUCUGGCCUUCCUCUGCCUACUUUUCACCCUAAGCUCUCUUGUGAGCAGAGUCCUGACAUCCACUAUUUGUGCCAGGUGGCUUUCUAUACCAGCUGGGUCUCCUGGCAGUGACCUUUUGGUUUUGGUCCUCAUCAGUGAAUACGAGGGCUCCUAACAGCUGUCCUAAAAGCAGUAGGAAGGAGGUCCUUGAUCAGCAGGAGGAUUUCAGAAUCCUUCGGUCCAAAAUAAAUGUCUAUACACAGACAUCAAGAGCGACAGUUCAUCAAAGCUUUGAGGUCACCCUGCUUAUUUGCAUUUUUAUAAGACAUACAUCAUGCAGACUGUCUCUUUGUAAGAUUAUCAUUCACCCCUUGCAUGGCCCAGAGCGCUAGAGUUAAUGUAACUCAAAGGUAUACAUUAGACCAGAAGGUGAAAAAGACCAGACAUUGUCAUGACAUAUGUAAGCAGCCAGGCUCCGCCUCCUACUCUCCAUCCUGUCUUCUUCUUCUCCCCCUGACUUGUGUCAGAACAUUUCCUUCCAUUUUUCAGACCUCUGCCCUAGAAACAUAAGCAGAUGUGUGCAUCUAAAAUUUGGGUUUUAAACAAUCCUAGAUCUUUACCUACUUCUAAGACGGUGUCUACGAAAAAGUUCCCAGUUUUCCAUAACUAAAAGAAUUGGAUCUAAGCAAAGGGAAACGUGCUGAUUUUCACCGUGCAGACUCUACCUGACCUGGCUGGGCACUACAGACUCAAUUGCUUCUGAAGCCACAUUUUUGUCUAUCCGAAGAAACCCAUCACCACAGCACUGCUGUUUGUGAGAACAGCCCCAUGGUGUUAGGGGCACCUGGAAUAUGGCUAGCCUGAACUGAGAUGUGCUUCAGGCAUAAAGUAGACAUUGGAUUUCUAAGACUUAUGGUGAAAAAAAGAGUGUAAAAUAUCUUACUGAUAAUUUUUAAUUGGUUGCAUGUUGAAUGAGAAUACUUUGAAUACAUGAGGGUAAAGAAAAUGUGUUACGGAAAUUAAUUUUACUUGUUUAUUUUUUACUUUUAUACUGUAGCUACUAGAAAAGUUACUAUUACAUAUCUGGCUUGCAUCACAUGUGUAUGGACUAUAUAUGUGUACUGACUAUACUUUAAAUGUCUUUUUUUUUUAUCAUACAGGACAUUUAUUUGGCAACUUCUAUUUUUAAGAGUAUGUUGUGAAUGUCUUUCCAUGCCAUUAAAUACCCUUCUGUGACAGUUUGUUUUUACUGCCCAUUUAGGUUGUUUUUUUUGGUUUUGUUUUGUGUUUGCAAAAAUACAUUAAAUGUCUUUAGGGGAAUGACAAAUGUUCUUAAAUGAUUAUCUUAUAGAAGCAAGAACUAAAAAAAAAUUGCCCUGAAAAAAAUGACUUUCAAAGGGAUUCAGUAUUGACUAUCUGUUUCUGAUUAGGUGACAGUGAGGUCACAUGCCAGGGAGAAAGUUGCCUGAGAGUUUACGGGGGCACAGACAGAAAAGCAGGAGACCAUCUGUUACAUUCUAGGUAACAGACAAUGAUGGCUGGAUUUACAUGAUGACUUAAUUUGGAUGGUAAAGAAACAAUCAUAAAGGUAUGGAUUCUUCCAAAUAUCUAGAGCCACACAGCCAAUAAGGGAGGAUUAUGUAGCUGACAAUGCAAAUAGGUUUUUAGUGAAUUAUUUUCAGAUUUUAUUGCUUAGAUAGUCAAACAAAGCUAACACUGGGAAAAUUGUAGCCACUACCAGUAUCAAAGGAAUCAUGAGUUAUAUGGAGUGGAAAGUUAUACAAAAAUGAAGGCUGCAAUCAGAAAAGUAAAGAAGUAUAAAUUACUUCAAAGAAGCAAUAAAGGGUCUUCCUAGUACCUACCAGGAUUAAUUUGUGAAGAGGAGAAUGGGGUUAUCUGUCUGGCCCAUUGAGAUUUUUAGUUAAGAUUGAAAUUUUCCAUGUAUUUUUACCAUUCCAAGGAGAUAUGGGGUGAUCAUAUCCCCCACAACAAAUGGCCACAUAGGGGUCAAAUUAACAAUCAAGAGCACAGAUUUUCAGAUACUGAAAGAGAAUUUAAAAUGAGGAUUAUUGAUUCUUCAUCAACGUGGGGUUCUUAUUUGUUAUAGAGUUUUUCUCUUCAACUUCCACAAAAUAAAAUGUUUUCAUUUUUAAGUGUACAACUGGAUGAGGUUUGAGAAUAUGGGCAGUCAUGUACCACCACCCCAGUCAGGACGUAGAACAACUCUGGCACUCCAAAGAGUUCUUUGGGAUCCUUUACAAGAAUCCUUUAACCCCCUCUCCAGGCCAUUGGUGAUAUAAUUCAUAACACUGGAGAUCAGUUUUGCCUCUUCUAGAACUUCCUAUAAAUGAAAUCAUGUACUUCUUUGGUAUCCAGUUUCUUUACUCAAGAUAAAUGCUUAGUAUAUAUCAGUACUUAAUGCCUUUUUGUUGUUGAGUAGCAUUUGAUUGUAUGGAUAAACACAUUUUGUGUAUCCUUUAAUCUCCUGGUGGACAUUUGGGUUGUUUCCAGUUUUUGAUUAUUAUGAAUAAAGCUGCUAUAAAUAUUCACAGGCAGGUUUUGUGUGGACACAGGUUUUCAAAUGAGUUGGGUGAGUAUCUAGGAGUGAGACUGUUGAUUGUAUGGUAAGAGUAUGUGUAGUUUUGUAAGAAACUGACAAACUGCUUUCCAAAGUGGCUGCACCAUUUUGAACUUCCAACAGCAUGGAUGAGAGUCCCUCUGUACACUUGCCAGUGUGAAGUGUCUGUUCAGAUCUUUUGCCCACUUUUUAAUUUGGCUGUUGUUUUCUUAUUGUUGAAUUUUAAAGAAUUUUUGUGUAUUUUGGAUCCAAAUCCUUUAUUAUAUAUGUGUUUUGAGAACAUUGUAUCCAAAACUAUGGCUUAGCUUAUGUUUUAACAGGAGGAGGAGUUUUAAAUUUUAAUAAAUUCCAACUUACCAAUAUAUUUUUUUUGGAUUGGGCUUUUGAUGUCAUGUCUAAAAACUCAUCACUUGCUAUUGUUUGAAUCUCUCUCCCCCCACCCCCAAAUUCAUAUGUUGAGUUCCUAGCCCCCCAAAUUAUGGUAUUAGGAGGUGAGGGCUUUGGUAGGUGCUUAGUAAGUCAUAAGCGUGGAGCCCUCAUGAAGGGGAUUAGUGCCCUUAUUAGAGAAGUUCCAACUUACACCUUGGAAGAGGAACUUCUCCUGGCCAUGCAGGCACCCUGACCCAAAAACUUCCAGCCUCCAGAACUAUAAGCAAUAAAUUUUUGUUUACAAACUACCCAGUCUGUGAUAUUUUGUCAUAGCAACCAAAAUAGACUAAGAUACCACCAAACCCAUGCUCACCCAUAUUUUCCUUUAUGAUUUUAGAGGUAUUCAGAUUUUCUAUGUCUUCUUGAGUAAGUUUCAGUAGUUUGUGCUUUUUUGGGGAAUUCAUCCAUUUUACCUAAAUUAUAUAAAUAGGUCAUUAUACAGUCAUUCAUAGACUUUCUUUAUAAUUCUUUUUUGAGUUGACAGUCAUAGUCCCACCUUCAUUUAAUUUUAGUAAAUUAAGUUUUCUCUAUUUUUCCUGGUUAGUCUAGUGAAAGAUGUCAAUUUUGUCGAUGCUUUUGGAGAACCAACUUUUGGUUUUGUCGAUCUCAAUUGUUUUUCUAUUCUCUUUCACUGAUUUCACUCUAAUCCCAUUUUCCCCCCUUUCCUUUUUCUUAUUUUGGAUUUGAUUUGCUCGUUUUUUCCCCCGUGUCUCAAGGUGGAAUGUUAGGUUGUAGACUUGAGAUCUUUUUUGACAUUUAGUAUAUUUUUUACUGCUAUAAAUUGCCCUCUAGGCAAUGCUUUAGCUACAUCCUCUACAUUUUAGUAUGCUGUAUCUUAAUUUUAAUUCAUGUCAAAGUAUUUAAAAAAUUUUUAAUGUUUAUUUAUUCUUGAGAGAGAGAGAGAGAGAAAGAGAGAGAGAGAGAGAGAGAGUACGAGCAGGGGAGGGGCAGAGAGAGAGGGAGACAGAAUCCAAAGCAGGCUCCAGGCUUCAAGCUGUCAGCACAGAGCCUGAUGCGGGGCUCAAAUCCACAAACCAUGAGAUUGUGACCUGAGCCAAAGUCGGAUGCUUAACUGACUGAACCACCCAGGCACUCCUCAAAGUAUUUUUUAAAUUUCCCAUAUGAUUUCUUCUUGAUCCAUUGGUUACUUAGUGAUAUGUUGCUUAAUUUCCACAUAUUUAUAAAUUUUCUAUUUUUUCUGUUGUUAAUUCCUAAUUUUACACAAGUGUAAUCAGAGAAUAUACUUUGUCCAAUUUCAAUUCUUUUAAAUUUAUUGAGGAUUAGUUUAUGGCCUAAAUUACAAUUUACUCUGGAGAACAUUCCAUGCACUCUUUAAAAGAAUGUGCGUUCUUCUCUUGUAAGUUGGAAUGUUAACAGAUGUCUGUUGGGUCCAGUUUGUACAUAGUGUUGUUUAAGUCUUUUGUGUCCUUGCUGAUUACCUCCUGGCUCAUUCUAUACAUUAUUGAAAAUAGAGUAUUGAAGUCCUCAACUAUUAUUGUAAAAUUGUUUUUUGCUACCUUCAAUUCUAUUAGCUUUUGCUUCAUGAAUUUUGGGAUACUAUUAUUAGAUGCACUUAUGUUUAUAUUCUUAUAACUUUUGAUGGAUUGCCCCCCUAUCAUUAUAUAAUUUAUCUCUUUAUCUCUAGUAACAUUUUUAUUUAAAGUCGAUUUUGUUUGAUAUUAGUAUAGCCAUUCCAGAUUACUUAAAGCUGCUGUUCACAUGGUAUAUCUCUUUUCCAUCCUUUUACUUUCAGCCUAUUUGUAUCUUUGAAUCUACUGUGUGUCUUCUGUGAAUUUAUUAUCUUACAGCUUCUGUUGAGGCUCUGGAAAAGAAUCAGAGUUCAUUCAUGUUGUUGGUUAAAUUCAGUUUCUUGCAUAUGUAGGACUGGGGUCCCAAUUCCUCAACUGACUGUCAUCCAGGGGCUGGUGUUUGCUUCUAGGUGCUACCCACAUUCCUACUCAUGCUUUCCAUAUAGCCCCUCCAGCAAAGGUGGGCUCAGUCCUUCACACUUCAAGUCUCUCUGACUUCCCCUUCUACAGUAUACCUCUGACUCCAGGGCCUGUGUGAUUAGAGUAGGUCCACCUGGAUAAUCCAGGAUAAUCUUCUUAUUUUCAUGACUGUAAUUACAUCUGCAAAGUCCCUUUUGCCAUGGGGCAAAAUGUACUCACAGGUCUCUAGAAUUAGAAUCUGGACAUUUUUGGAGGGUCAUUCUGGCUACAAUAAUCCACCAUCUGGAACAUAAAGACUCAUUUCAUGAGACAUGUAGAAAACAAAAAGUAAAAUGGCAUACAUAAACCCAACUAUAUAUAUUUUUAAAAAAUUGUUUUAAUGUUUAUUUAUUAUUGAGAGACAGAGAGACACAGUGUGAGCAGGGCAGGGGUAGAGAGAAGGGGAGACACAGAAUCUGAAGCAGGCUCCAGGCUCCGAGCUGUCAGCACAGAGCCCAACGCAGGGCUCGAACCCACAAAUAGUGAGAUCAUGACCUGAGCUGAAGUCAGUUACCUAACCAACUGAGCCACCCAGGUGCCCCCAUAAACCCAACAAUAUUAAUAAUAACAUUAAAUAUGAAUGAACUAAACAGUCCGAUCACACUGGGUAAAUAAAACAAAACAAGAUCCAACUGUAUGCUGUUUGUAGAAGGUCUCAGCCUUGUGAGACCUUUGGGCACAGGACCCAGCCAAGUCUAUGCAAACUUCUGACCUAUAGAAGUUGCAAGAUAAUAAAUUCACAUUGUUUUAGGUUGUGUGCUAAUUCGUUACAGCUGCAUUAGAAGCCAGUAUGCAUAUAAUGAGGUGUUUGUUGUUAUGUCAGGUGGAUUAAGUGCAUUAGAAGAGACUUAAAGCCAGUCAAGGAUGGAUGUUUGAGGUGGACUCCACAAAGAGAAACAGGAGCCAUUUAGGGAAAGAUGGGUCACAUAUGUAGAACUAAAAGUAGGCAAUAUGGAGAAGAGAAUUUGCUGAUCAACGUUGAUGUUAAAAAUUGUUGAAAGUGAAAUAUUAUGUGUAGAAUGUUACGCAUGGGUGCCUGUGCCUUUUGCUCAGAGGGGAAGAAUCUUAGAAUGUCCUUUAUUAAUGAAUGGUCUUUACCCCUUUUAAACAUGAGGUUUAUACUUUUGUUUAAGACACUGAGAUCUUAUUUAUUGAAUUGGAAAGGAGAGGGGAUCAGCAUAUCAACAGAGAUAGGAUUUUUCUCAUCCAAUCCUGAAUAGUGUAAUAAUUCAAAUAGAAAAUACAAAUAGCAUAUGGGCUGGGUUAAACAUUCUCUAGUAAUAGGGCAAUUUUUGCAUUCAUUAAUUCUUGUUAUUAAAGGAUGGGAAUAGAGUAUGGGAAAACUGAUGUCUCAAAAAUUCUGACAUGGAUUGGAAUUUCAAUCCUUCACAUUUCCCUGUUCCCCUAGUGUUGUUUGGGUCAGAGUGACGUUUUACAGCAGCAACUUAUCAAAAAUAUUGCCUCAAUCUUCAAUCAUCUUUUU
Molecule: long non-coding RNA, 14786 nt
Organism: Acinonyx jubatus (cheetah)
Lineage: Eukaryota; Metazoa; Chordata; Mammalia; Carnivora; Felidae
Exons: 3
Source: RefSeq, a predicted model, not a curated record